AUUCCAGCUCCAAUAGCGUAUAUUAAAGUUGUUGCGGUUAAAAAGCUCGUAGUUGGAUUUCUGUCAAAGGUAAGGCGGUCCAUCUUAUGGAUGUGCAUCUGCCUAUGCCUUGGCAUCCUCAUGAAGAACGUUUUCGCGCUUCACUGCGUGUUUACGGUAUUCAUGACUUUUACUUUGAGGAAAUUAGAGUGUUCACGGCAGGCAAUCGCUUUGGAUACAUUAGCAUGGAAUAAUACUAUAGGACCUCGGUUCUAUUUUGUUGGUUUCUAGAGCUGAGGUAAUGAUUAAUAGGGAUAAUUGGGGGUCUUUGUAUUGCAACGUCAGAGGUGAAAUUCUUGGAUUGUUGCACGACAAACUACUGCGAAAGCAUUGACCAAGGAUGUUUUCAUUA
This 391-nucleotide ribosomal RNA is filed under the name Syndiniales sp. RNAcentral describes it as "partial small subunit ribosomal RNA". It matches the Rfam family "Eukaryotic small subunit ribosomal RNA", at positions 582 to 975 of the family's 1831-position model. Lineage: Eukaryota; Dinophyceae; Syndiniales. The record is from RNAcentral.